Non-coding RNA from Camellia sinensis, 2304 nucleotides. Lineage: Eukaryota; Viridiplantae; Streptophyta; Magnoliopsida; Ericales; Theaceae. The record is from RefSeq and is a predicted model, not a curated record.
CUUGGGCGCUUUGCUUUCGCAAAGGGUUAGGUGUAUGUGUAUAUCUGGACAAUGUGCUCUGCUUUUUUUAGGUGCAAAGGCAACAACGAAACCCAAAAUACAUACGUAUACGUUUCUUUCUACACCAAUUGAACACUUUUCUCCUUUUUUGUUAACUUUCUUAAAUUUUCCCUCCAUUCAUUCCAUCUUAUUCGUACCAAAAACACCCAACAUUCAAUCUAAAAUCACAACAUUCAAUCACUUCUCUUUCGUUCUCAUAACUUGCAGAUUCCUUUAGUCAGUGAGGAGGGACCAUUUACAUCAUUGGCUAUGAAGAGAGGAUACCAAGAAUCUUCGUCUUCGGCCUCUCUCGGUCCACCUCAAUCCAAAUUCAGACACAACUUAGAAUGCGAUGCACAGUUUCUGGAGGAUGAGAGUACAAAGAUAUUUGCCAGGAAAGUGGCUGACCAUUACAGUGCAAGAACGAAUCAAACUCUAGAAGAGAGAGAAGCUAGUCCUAUUAUCCAUUUAAAGAAACUUAACAACUGGAUUAAAAGUGUCUUAAUUCAACUUUAUGCUCGUCGAGGAGACGCAGUUGUUGAUCUUGCUUGUGGCAAGGGCGGAGAUUUAAUCAAAUGGGACAAAGCAAAGAUUGGAUAUUAUGUUGGCAUUGACAUAGCUGAAGGUUCGAUAGAAGACUGUCGUGCACGCUAUAAUGGCGAUGCAGACCAUCAUCAACGUCGAAAAAAGUUCACAUUCCCUGCACGCCUAAUAUGUGGAGAUUGCUAUGAGGUCCGCCUGGAUAAAGUUUUGGAAGAAGAUGCACCAUUUGAUGUUUGUAGUAGCCAGUUUGCCCUGCAUUACUCAUGGUCUACUGAGGCACGUGCACGUCGGGCCUUGGCCAAUGUAUCAGCAUUGCUUCGUCCAGGAGGCAUCUGUAUUGGAACAAUGCCUGAUGCCAAUGUUAUCAUCAAAAAGCUUAGAGAAGCCAAAGGACUGGUUUUUGGUAAUAGUGUUUACUGGAUACGUUUUGAUGAAGAAUUUUCUGAGAAGAAAUUUAAAUCUUCAAGCCCCUUUGGUAUAAAAUACAAGUUCCACCUUGAGGAUGCUGUUGAUUGUCCAGAGUGGAUUGUUCCUUUUCAUGUCUUCAAAUCAUUGGCAGAAGAGUAUGAUUUGGAGCUAGUUUUUGUGAAAAAUUCGCAUGUAUUUGUGGAUGAAUACUUGAAGAGACCAGAUUUUGUUGAGCUCAUGCGUAGGCUUGGUGCCUUGGGUGACGGAAACCAAGGGCAGAGUACAUUAACACCAGAUGAGUGGGAAGUAGCUUAUUUAUACUUGGCAUUUAUAUUGAGGAAGGUAAGGAUUACAUUCAUGCAUGUUGUUGAGAAUAACAUGGAAUUUAUUACUGUUUUUCACUCUAUUUAGUUUGUUCGUGUGUCAAAAAGUUUGUAUGUGCAAUUGACACAGAAGAGGUGAAAAUUUGUGACCUUUAGCUUGUGUUUGGUUGGGAGAUUUAGGGAGGAAUUUGGAAAGGGAGAGGGAAAGGAAAGGGAAAAUGUAUGUAAAAUUAGAUGAAAUAUAAGUAUAUUUUAUUUAUAUUUCACCUACCUUUUCUCUUUGGGAAAACUACGUACAGGUGGGAGAAGAGGAAAAAAAUGGGGAAAAAAAUAACUAAUAUACGAGGGGUGCCAGGUGUCUGUGGUGGGGUGCAAAUGAAAGACUGUGAGGGUGAAAAAUGUCACUGGCACCCCUUUAUGUAUUGGUAAUUUUUUUUUUCCUUCUCUCAUCUGUAUGUAGUUCCUCCUUUCUCUUUAUCUUUUCAAAUCCCUUUCCAAAUCCCCCAACCAAACAGAGUGUUAGGGAUGAAAUUUUUUUAUUUGUUGCAGCGAGGCCAGCCGGAGCAGAAGCGAGUAAAUAGUAGACGAGACAAAGGCAAGAUGCAAAUAUCAAAAGAAGACAUUAUGUAUGUUGGCAGUGAAAUUUGAUUAAACAGCAGAAAUUAGUAGCAAGUCAUCUUCAUACAGGACCAUAGUUACCGAGGCAUGGAAGAAUAUCGAUCAGGCCAUAGAUAAACAACCGAAGUUGGAUGCGAUUCAUAUUUAUCGUCCAUAAGUUCGUCAUGGACUUGAUACAGCUAUUCAAUUUUGUAGAAUUGUAGUGUUGCAAUGCCAUUGUUGGUUUUCCCAGCUGUUGCAACUGGUGGCUAAUAAAAUACUAGCCCUUAAGAGCAGUGGAGGAAGUUGUGUGACCCAACUCCAAGAGUAAGACCCCAUUUUGGCAAACUGGUAACAUUAUUGAUUUGAAUAUAUGUGAUAAUGUGACAGAUCA